Molecule: transfer RNA, 90 nt
Filed under: Aquamicrobium defluvii
Lineage: Bacteria; Pseudomonadati; Pseudomonadota; Alphaproteobacteria; Hyphomicrobiales; Phyllobacteriaceae
Also listed under: 10 other names
Description: tRNA-Ser
Rfam family: tRNA
About the family: Transfer RNA (tRNA) molecules are approximately 80 nucleotides in length. Their secondary structure includes four short double-helical elements and three loops (D, anti-codon, and T loops).
Source: RNAcentral
GGAGAAGUGGCAGAGUGGUUGAAUGCACCGCACUCGAAAUGCGGCAUGGGUGCAAGCCCAUCGGGGGUUCGAAUCCCUCCUUCUCCGCCA